AUGAACGCUGGCGGCGUGCCUCAUCCAUGCCAGUCGCGCGAACAGACGAGGAGCUUGCUCCUCUGACGUUAGCGGCGGACGGGUGAGUAACACGUGGAUAACCUACCUAUAAGACUGGGAUAACUUCGGGAAACCGGAGCUAAUACCGGAUAAUAUAUUGAACCGCAUGGUUCAAUAGUGAAAGACGGUUUUGCUGUCACUUAUAGAUGGAUCCGCGCCGCAUUAGCUAGUUGGUAAGGUAACGGCUUACCAAGGCAACGAUGCGUAGCCGACCUGAGAGGGUGAUCGGCCACACUGGAACUGAGACACGGUCCAGACUCCUACGGGAGGCAGCAGUAGGGAAUCUUCCGCAAUGGGCGAAAGCCUGACGGAGCAACGCCGCGUGAGUGAUGAAGGUCUUCGGAUCGUAAAACUCUGUUAUUAGGGAAGAACAAAUGUGUAAGUAACUAUGCACGUCUUGACGGUACCUAAUCAGAAAGCCACGGCUAACUACGUG
This 496-nucleotide ribosomal RNA is filed under the name uncultured bacterium. RNAcentral describes it as "partial 16S ribosomal RNA". It matches the Rfam family "Bacterial small subunit ribosomal RNA", at positions 29 to 507 of the family's 1533-position model. The record is from RNAcentral.